UACGUAGGGGGCUAGCGUUGUCCGGAUUUAUUGGGCGUAAAGAGCGCGUAGGCGGCUAGGUAAGUCCGACGUGAAAUCUGGAGGCUCAACCUCCAGCGGUCGUUGGAAACUACUUGGCUAGAGUCCGGAAGAGGAGAGUGGAAUUCCUGGUGUAGCGGUGAAAUGCGCAGAUAUCAGGAAGAACACCGAUGGCGAAAGCAGCUCUCUGGGACGGUACUGACGCUGAGACGCGAAAGCGUGGGGAGCGAACAGG
This 253-nucleotide ribosomal RNA is filed under the name uncultured bacterium. RNAcentral's name for it is "partial 16S ribosomal RNA". It matches the Rfam family "Bacterial small subunit ribosomal RNA", at positions 524 to 776 of the family's 1533-position model. The record is from RNAcentral.